RNAcentral lists this unclassified non-coding RNA (71 nucleotides) under soil metagenome. Its description in RNAcentral is "partial internal transcribed spacer 1". The record is from RNAcentral.
UUGAUUUUAGUUAUUUGUGAACGUACUACGAACAAGCAAAAAAAUAUUAUAGUCAAAAAAAAAUUAAAUCA